UGGACUACACGGGUUUCUAAUCCUGUUUGCUCCCCACACUUUCGCACCUCAGCGUCAGUAUCAGUCCAGUUAGCCGCCUUCGCCACUGGUGUUCCACCGAAUAUCUACGAAUUUCACCUCUACACUCGGUAUUCCGCUAACCUCUCCUGAUCUCUAGACUCCCAGUUUCAAAUGCAGUUCCGAGGUUGAGCCUCGGGAUUUCACAUCUGACUUAAAAGUCCGCCUACGUGCGCUUUACGCCCAGUAAUUCCGAACAACGCUAGCCCCCUUCGUAUUACCGCGGCUGCUGGCACGAAGUUAGCCGGGGCUUCUUUACCAGGUACUGUCAUUAUCAUCCCUGGCGAAAGAAUUUUACAACCCUAAGGCCUUCAUCAUUCACGCGGCAUGGCUGCAUCAGGCU
Molecule: unclassified non-coding RNA, 400 nt
Filed under: uncultured fungus
Lineage: Eukaryota; Fungi
Description: sequence contains ITS1
Source: RNAcentral